GAUGAACGCUAGCUACAGGCUUAACACAUGCAAGUCGAGGGGUAACGAGAGGAAAGCUUGCUUUCCUUGUUGACGACCGGCGCACGGGUGAGUAACGCGUAUCCAACCUGCCCCCAACUAGGGAAUAACCUUGCGAAAGUAAGACUAAUACCCUAUAAUUUCCUCAGAUGUCAUCUGACGAGGAAUAAAGAUUUAUCGGUUGUGGAUGAGGAUGCGUCUGAUUAGCUUGUUGGCGGGGUAACGGCCCACCAAGGCACCGAUCAGUAGGGGUUCUGAGAGGAAGGUCCCCCACAUUGGAACUGAGACACGGUCCAAACUCCUACGGGAGGCAGCAGUGAGGAAUAUUGGUCAAUGGGCGGAAGCCUGAACCAGCCAAGUAGCGUGCAGGAUGACGGCCCUAUGGGUUGUAAACUGCUUUUAUACAGGGAUAAAGUUAGCCACGUGUGGUUAUUUGUAGGUACUGUAUGAAUAAGGACCGGCUAAUUCCGUGCCAGCAGCCGCGGUAA
Molecule: ribosomal RNA, 506 nt
Filed under: uncultured bacterium
Lineage: Bacteria
Description: partial 16S ribosomal RNA
Rfam family: Bacterial small subunit ribosomal RNA
Source: RNAcentral